UAAAUUAAAAUGGGGUGCCAAAAAUUUCAGGCUGAGAUUAUACCCAAUGAACCUGCUACGGAUAAUGCCGGCGAAGGGAAUAAAAAAACUCACCCC
RNAcentral lists this non-coding RNA (96 nucleotides) under Bacteroidota bacterium. RNAcentral describes it as "Bacteroidetes bacterium TPP sequence". It matches the Rfam family "TPP riboswitch aptamer (THI element)". From Rfam's summary of the family: Vitamin B(1) in its active form thiamin pyrophosphate (TPP) is an essential coenzyme that is synthesised by coupling of pyrimidine and thiazole moieties in bacteria. The previously detected thiamin-regulatory element, thi box was extended, resulting in a new, highly conserved RNA secondary structure, the THI element, which is widely distributed in eubacteria and also occurs in some archaea. Lineage: Bacteria; Pseudomonadati; Bacteroidota. The record is from RNAcentral.